This 330-nucleotide ribosomal RNA is filed under the name uncultured bacterium. RNAcentral's name for it is "bacterial SSU rRNA". It matches the Rfam family "Bacterial small subunit ribosomal RNA", at positions 568 to 898 of the family's 1533-position model. The record is from RNAcentral.
CGCGUAGGUGGUAGUGUAAGUCUGGGGUGGAAUGCCGGGGCUUAACCCUGGAAUUGCCUUGGAAACUGCAUUACUUGAGUCAGUGAGGGGAGGGUAGAAUUCCUGGUGUAGCGGUGAAAUGCGUAGAUAUCAGGAGGAAGGCCUGUGGCGAAGGCGGCCCUCUGGUGCUGGACUGACACUGAGGCGCGAAAGCGUGGGGAGCAAACAGGAUUAGAUACCCUGGUAGUCCACGCCCUAAACGGUGGGCACUAGGUGUAGGGCUCGUAAGGGUUCUGUGCCGAAGGGAAACCAUUAAGCGCCCCGCCUGGGGAGUACGGCCGCAAGGUUGAA